RNAcentral lists this ribosomal RNA (362 nucleotides) under uncultured bacterium. Its description in RNAcentral is "bacterial SSU rRNA". It matches the Rfam family "Bacterial small subunit ribosomal RNA", at positions 29 to 394 of the family's 1533-position model. The record is from RNAcentral.
AUUGAACGCUGGCGGCAUGCCUUACACAUGCAAGUCGAACGGCAGCACGGGAGCAAUCCUGGUGGCGAGUGGCGAACGGGUGAGUAAUACAUCGGAACGUGCCCAGUAGUGGGGGAUAGCCCGGCGAAAGCCGGAUUAAUACCGCAUACGACCUAUGGGUGAAAGCGGGGGAUCGCAAGACCUUGCGCUAUUGGAGCGGCCGAUGUCAGAUUAGCUAGUGGUGGGGUAAAGCCUACCAAGGCGACGAUCUGUAGCUGGUCUGAGAGGACGACCAGCCACACUGGGACUGAGACACGGCCCAGACUCCUACGGGAGGCAGCAGUGGGGAAUUUUGGACAAUGGGCGCAAGCCUGAUCCAGCCA